GCCGGUGUUCAUGCGCCCAGAAAUCCGACUGACACUAUUCCGGAGGUGCAGAAGUUGUUUCUAGAUUGUUUAGGGGCUGUUUUGUAAUUUAAAAUUUAUUUGAUGUAUUUUUUUUUAUUUGGUUUUGAAUUUUUUAUUUUGCAUUAUGUAAAUGUGGAUGUAAAAGAAAAAAGAAAAAAGAAAAGAAAGAGAAAGUGAUAAAUAAAAAAAAGAAAAAGAAAUGUUUGUGUGUGCUUGUAUUUUUUCAAUUUUGCUUAAUAUCGGUAUGUAUUUUACAUCGUAAAAAUAUAAAUUCGGUAUUAAAAUACCCGGUUUUCGUUCACACGGUACUGUUCACACGGUACUGUUCUGAAAGAAAAAAAUCAAAACAUAUUUGUUUCAGCAUUUUAUAACUUUUCUGCGACGUUUUUAUGUCAUUUUGAUUAAUAUGUCAUUUUUAUGUCGUUUUUAUGUCAUUGAAUAAAAAAAAAAUGAAUUUAAUUUAUAUGCACAAAUAUCUAAAGGACAGAUAAAAAUCAUGUUGAAUUUUCCAUGGAAAUGUAGAAUAUGUAUCUACAUAUAGUCUGGAAAAGUAAUAACUGAUUUAUCAAAGCCUUAGAAUUGGGCUAAAAUUUUAUUUUUAAUAUCACAUCAAGUCCACGAAGCUUGAAAGUGAAUGUGGUGUGUAUUUUUGUUUAUGAAUGUUUUUUUAUGAUAAAAUUGCAAGAAUAAAGAAGAAUUUAAUAUUUUUUGAUUUAAUCACGGAUAAAGAAUCAUGAACUUACAUGUAAGUUGUAUUUUCUAAAAUUCGAUGAAAGAACAGAAUUUUUAAAACUUCUUUAACACAUCAAGCCACAAAGCAGCUUACCUCAGGUAGGGUGCGUUAGGGUGCUAGUACCUUCCCUAACCACAACCAGUCCCUUACCCGCGAUCUCUGACAAGACCAGUACAUCAGGUUUCCUAGUAGCCCUCAAUGAAUUACUAGGUGGCGAAUCCAAAGAACCAAAUCAGCAAAACAGAACGAAUAAUCGCCAGCCGAUGCCGCGCGCUGAUUUUUUUGGGGUGCGACAGAAUGGCGACUCCACUGGGGAAGGUAUUGUUUUCAACAUUAUUGGACUAAGCUUUGCAUAUUUGAUGUGUUUAUGUUUUUACAUUUUUGUCUUAUUUUAUUUUUUGUUUUAUCCAUGCAUUUUGUAGAAUUAUAUCAUGCAUCACAUAAUUAUUUUUUUAAAGCACACACCAGCUUCAGGGUAGGAGGGGAACUAACAGCUUACCUUACGACUUUUAGUCAAGGUUUAAGUUUGUGUAAACCCCAACUCUUCGUUGAGUGCUUAGACUGGUAAUAGUUGGACAUGUGCCAUCUCAUUGCCUACAAGCCCCCAUAUUGCCUUCACGAGGGCGAUCACUGGGACAACGAGAGCCCCUUUUUAGAGACCAAAUAGUAAACCUACCUUUUGUCUCACUUAAAAAGAUUAGAACUUGCCUGUAGGAUGUAUGCUCCGUAAAUAUUUGUUUUGCAUCCGAGCAAACCCUUCUUGAAGCAUCUUGAACUCAAGACUUGUGGGUGACACAUUGGUCGUCACUCCGAAAUUUUUCAUUGUAGAGUUUGGACAAAAAGCACGAUUCUUGUUCCAUCAUACAAGAGUUACGACCAUAUUGUCACCCCUCGAAGGGUGAGUUCGUCAUAUAGAUUACAUAUUCAUACAUUUAUCAUGCAUGUAUCGGGUUGAAAGGUAGGUCCCCCGCACAAGUUGUGCUGCACGUGAUUUGAAAAGAUGAGGGAAGUGAACAAAGGAGUUGAGAGUAUUAAAGGUGAAACAGCUGAGACUCAGAUUUGCUUGAACAAGUGUUGAGUAUUUAAAUGGAAAGAGAAUGUCUGCACAGUCUUCUAUCGGAACACUGCUUGUCCACGUCCAAUUGAAGCUGCCUCUCCUUUUCAGUCAUGAACAACAACAAAAAUGCCUUCAGUCAUCAACUAAUGACAACUCGAAUUUCUAUCCAGUUGCACUCUUAAGUGUUAAUGCCUCCACAUCAUCUAAUGGAACCAAACGACUACUAGCCUCCUAUUCAUGGUGCAUUAGUCUGCUUUGAAGUUACUCCAAUUAUGAGCUCAAUUCCAGUUUAGCAGCACAAGGUGUUGGUCUGAAAAACCAUGAUUAGACACUGAACUUCUACGUGGUAGAGCUCUCUCUGUAGAGAUUUAUUGGUGGAUCUGCCAAUGGAAAAUGCAAAAGGAGAUGUAUUAAUUACAUAUGCUUUGAAACUUUUUCCAAUCAGUGGCACGAGCAAAACAUUGUACUAGGCGGAGGAGUCAGGCCUGGUCUGAAAAUAUGAGUAGUCGUCGAACUUCAACGUGGCAGAGCUCUCUCUACAAAAAUCUGUUUAUGAUGCUGCAAGUUGAGAGUGCAAGAGAGGAUUUACUAAUUGCAUAUGCUACAAAUAUUUCUCAUCAGUUUCAGCACGAAGAAACUGUAGCAGGUUGAAGAGCCAGACUUGGUUUGAAAAACAUUGAGCAGUCAUCACACUCAACGUGGCAGAGAUCUCUCGGCAGGAAUCUAUUUGUGGAUUCGAAAGUGGGAAAUCCAAGAAGGAAUGCAGUAGUUUCAGAUCAUCUAUGAUUUUCCUCCAACAAUGUCAGUAUUAAAACGCAAAAGUAGAGAGAAGAGACAUGCCUAGACUGAAAAACAUGAAGAAGACUGAAACUUCCACAGAGCAGAACUCCCUCUAUUGGUGCUUGUUUGCUGCACCGUUCGAGAGGAAUCGAAGAAGAAAUAGAGGAGAUUCAUGUUAAUCAUUUUUUCCCAUUAGAAGAGAUAAGGCAUGAUUCCACGGGUCUGUAAUGGCGAUACUACAAGUUUCUGGGCGCUGCCAAGAUUACCAAGUUGUUGGAAAGUUUUCUAACAAUCCUCAACCAACCACAACAACAUUGGAAGAUUGAAAUGAUGUUGUGAGGAUUUGCCGAAGAAUUGAACAAGCUAUGAAGAGAGGAAAGAUUGAAGGAUCUGCCAGGGAUUCCAGAAUAAUGAUGAGAGGUGAAUCAGGAGAUGACUUUGACAGUGUGAAACCUUAAUUAUGUGGUCUAGCCAGGUCUCAUGUUAGCAUCAAUUGCUCAAAUGUCUUUGCCAAGAUGGGACAUUCCGUUGCCGUUUAAGUUGGUCGACCAGCAUCUGCCAGAUUCUAGAAUUUUGCUUGACUCCGACAAAUCCCAUGCAACCACCGUUUUCUAGGUGGUAUAAUCCAGAUAAGAGAUGUGAUGUCAUGGUGGGGUCCUCAACCAUUUCAAGUGAACAGUUGCAAGAAUUGCAAGAAUUGAGUCUGAAAGUUGGUGAGCAAGAGACAAGUCGAGCUUGCAAAGGAGGGUGUCAUUGGCUAUAUUGUCCCCCGAACAUCAUCAAAAUGACAUGUGAUCGAAAGUGCUUGGCAAAACACAAAUAUUGCUAGAAAAGCUGAUUCAAGAAUGGUGAUGAACAGUCAAUCAUAUUGUUAUGGAAUUCUGCAUUUUGUUUUGGGAUCACAUCUCAUCCUUCAACGAAACAUGUCUUGCUUUUGUCUCUUUGUUGUUUUGAAAUCAACAGAUGUUUAACAUUUUAUUCUGACAAAAUAUCUUGAUCAAACUCCAACAUGCGAUAAAGGUUAAUCAAUCCGGAAGAUUAAAAGUGUUUUGAUUACAGAAAUGACUCAAUGCUUGAAAAUGACAUGAGGUGACUAAACAAUUUUGAACUCAUACCUCCUGAAACUGAACCACACAUCAUAUAGCUAAGUUUUAGCAGUAUGCAUAAUGACAUGUAGUGGAUUCGGUAGUUAUGGACUCGUGAAUCAUGAUUCUUACAAGUCCCAAUCAUUACACUGGAUGAGGUCAAAAUUUAUCGGUUCUAACCGACCUUGCUUGAAAUGAGAAAAGGCCAUCUUUGAUAUCCCUUCACUUUCUAAAGAUUAUAUCCCUUGCAGUCCCAUUUUGAGCCUGGUAAAUAUUUUUUUCAGAAAACCCUGACUAGGAUCACACCCCACACUGGGGGCAAAUGAGAGAUAUUUUGGAGACAUUGAUAUAUGGAUAAAGGGGAAGGCUUAGAACAAAGGUCCAAUGAUUGAGAGAGAGCUAAAAGAAAACACAUAGACUGGGGGCAUAUAAGAAAAUUUUGAGGAAGGCUAUAAAAAAAAAAAAAGAAAAAAAAAGGAAGUUGAAAUUGCCUUCACUUAACAAGUCAAAGAUAAAGGAAGGAGAACGCCUAUCAAGUCUAUGAAGAGCAAAAAAAUUUCAAUCAAGGAAAGCACAACAAAAGUCAAUACCAGAAAAAAGACUAAGCUAUAACGUGACUUUUGGUCCAUUAUAAAGCCUAUGAUGUUAUCAGAUGAUUAAGGUUGGUUAUUCAUCAAGAAAGGAUUUGCAUUAUGACUUAUGUUAAGAAAAGUCUGAACUUUGAGGUUAACAAGGUUAUAUGUCGUUUCCUCUACAAAGACAACAAUAGAAGAGUUGAUGAAUAGUUGAUGUUGAUCCUAGGUCUUUGAAACCCUCAAACACCUUUUGAGCCUUGAAAUUCCUUUCUUUCAUAGCCAUGAACCAUAGCCUGCAUUACGUGCUUUUAAAAGCCCUUUUUAAUCAAGCAAGCAAUUUGAACCGAUAAAUGGCGCUCUCAAAACUUGAAGGGUUUUUCCACAAGGGUCGUGACUUCAUGAAUUAAGCUAUUGGUUAUUAUGCAUGCUGAUAAAAGAAGUUAUAAGAAGAGAAACAACCUUUCUUAAUAAAGCCUGAGUUUUGACUUGAGCAUUUUUGUUUUUUGGAAAUUCAUGCAAAGGUCACCUCAUCAUAGACUAUCAAAUGAUAUACCCAAUAUCAAGGAUUCAAAUUGAUACAAAGAACCAUAGAAAAGCCAUUUUAAUCCUACAUUGGGUCAAUUUCUUGUUUUUAAAGUGCAUGACAAUCAAAGGACUGUGUAUUUCGAAUAACGUGUGUUGGGUCUUUGAUCAAAAAGCUUGAUUUUCAAAAGAUUUUCAAAAAGGACAUCUCUGAUUUCAUCUCAACAAACUAGACUUUGAAUAGACAUGAUCUUUGAAAUAUGAAAGUUGAUUCCAGAACAAGGAAGAUUAUGAAACACUGAAGAACGUAGAUUGAGUAUGCAAAAUCGUUGAUAGAAAUGACAUUGAAGUCCUCGACACUCCUUGAAAAGUUGAGCAGCUGGGGGCAAUACAGUGGACCUUAAGAAAGAAAACAAACAAUAUCCAGAUCAGCUGGGGGCAAAGAAAGAAUCACAUAAUGAGUCAUCAAAGGCCAUCAAAGUCAUUCCUGGCAUUCACAAAAUCCAUUUGGUUGUAAACAGAAGAAUGAGCAUGUUCAGAUCAACUAGGGGCAAUGUUGUUCAAAGACAAUCCAUGAUUUAGUGAACUUCAGCAGCAAUUGAUGAGCAACGCUGCACUUGAAGGAUAUUUUCAUAUCUUCAUCUUGGGUCACCCUCUGAAACAUGGCUAUGACUCCUGACAGAUGUUAUCGGGUGAGUGCAUUUGAAUGAACAUCGAACAUAUGCACCACCAGGACUGAUUGUGGAACAUUGAUGCAUUUGAAGGACAAUCUCAUAUUGUCAUCCUUUGAAACAUGGUUAUCGACAGACGUUACCACGCAACUGCAUUGAAUGAAUGUUAGAAAGGCACCCACCCCGAAGACUGACUGUGUGGGACAAUUUGUUUUGAAGCCAGAUGAGCACUUCACCACAUGAGUAUGGGUGAUAAAAGCAGCAUCAUUGAUGAGGCUGAGACAUUUCUUUUUUUUUUUUUGAAAAGGAAAAACAAGCAGUGCUCAGGUCAGCUAUGAGGCAAUGAUUAAAUGAUGAAUCAGUGAACUGAAGACAAUGAUGUUCAAAGACAGAUAAUCAAUGAACGAGCACAUUUAGAUCAUACUGGGGGCAAUGUCAUUCCAAAACGGCCCAUGCUCUAGUGAACCCUGUCAGCAAUGGAGAAACAAAGAUGUACCUGAAGGAACACUUUCUUAUCAUCAUCUUUUGAAACAUCAUUGAUGAGGUUGAGACAUUUCUUUUCACAAAUCUGAUUAGAAGAGUUGAAGGGAAUCUAUUGAGAAGAACACUAAGUAUACAACCAUGAGCCUUUGUACUGCAAGCUAUGAGAUGCAUGACUGGAUGACUGAAUGAGUUCCAAGAAGGCUGAUGAUAACAUGUACUUGAAGAGUACUGUUUCAACUAGAGGCAAGUUCAUGACUGAUUAACAAUCUCGAUGGGUAUUGGCAUGAUGCACACAAUCAAUCAGAAGAUAAUUCUCAGAAGAAGCCAGGAGAGAAAAUCCUUCAUGAUGAAUCAAACAGUACCACACUUGGGGGCAGGGUCAAGCUUGAUGAACGAUGCGAGCAUUGUUGAAGACAACCCGGGAUGGGCACUGCAUUUACAGCUGGGUGGAUGGCUAGCACAUGAAUGAGCCAAUACAUCGAAAGAACAAGGAAAGCUUUGGGAUACAAACAAAGGCACCCUAUGAUGAUGGAGCAUCAAAGAGGGGGGACCUAUAUUUCAAAAUCAGGUAAGGAUGCAUGCAUAUCAUCUAACCUUAAAAAAAAAAAAAAAAAAACAAUUUGCACAUGUUUUUGAAUUGUUACAGGAAAAUCCUUAAUGAGGUCCAGCAAGAUGGUGAAAAAAAGAAGAAGCAUUGUGAUGAUGAUAAUAAAGAAUCAGUGUCGAUCAUGGAAUAAAAGGGAAGAUGGGAUGAACCCUACCAUUAGGGAAAUCCCAAAGAAAUGAAAAGAUCAACCUUGCAAUCGGGAAGCCUCGAGUUUUCAACCCUUGCAGUCAGGAAACACUGAGUUUUCAAAACCUAUGAUCGGGAAUUAGCAGGAAGCACCAAGUUUUCCAGCCCAUCUUCUGUCAUCCCCUCAGGACUUCGCCAGGUAAGUCCUAUUUUUCACACUUGUCAUAUCACAUCUUCCAUUUGGGUUGGUCACCCAUGACAAUGAGACAGCGCUUUUCAUAUUUUUUCCAUCCGGGUAGGUCACCCAUGACAAUGAGACCGCACUUCAUCAUAUUUUUUCCAUCUGGGUAGGUCGCCCAUUACAAUGAUACCACACUUCAUAUUUUUUCCAUAUUUGGGUAGGUCACCCAUUACAAUGAGACCGCACUUCACAUUCUUUCUAUUUGGGUAGGUCGCCCAUCACAACGAGACCACUUCAUCAUAUUUUGUCCAUCUGGGUAGGUCACCCAUUACAAUGAGACCACACUUCAUAUUUUUUCCCCCUGGGUAGGUCACCCAUAAGAAUGAGACCACUCUUCCUCCUUUCCACUUGGGUAGGUCACCCAUUAUAAUGAGACCACUUUUUACACAUUCUUUUGUUCCAGUUGAAUGAGGUCGCCAGAUGGGAUCUCAUGUAGCUUUGGUUAAAGGGAAUCGCCAGAUGGGGUUUCAGGUUCACCGAGCUACACAUAUUCCUUGGUUAUGGUUAAAGGGGAUCGGCGAAGGGAUCUCAGUUUAACCUAAUUGGAAAGGAUUUUGGUUCUGGUUAGAGGGGAUUGCCGAAAGGAAUCUCAGUCUAGCCCAACCCUACAUAUUCCUUGGUUAUGGUUGAAGGGGAUCGGCGAAGGGAUCUCAGUUCAGUCUAACUACACAAUUCCUUAGUUAUGGUUAAAGGGGAUCGACGAAGGGAUCUCAGUUUAACCUAAUUGGAAAGGAUUUUGGUUCUGGUUAGAGGGGAUUGCCGAAAGGAAUCUCAGUCUAGCUCAACCCUACACAUUCCUUGGUUAUGGUUAAAGGGGAUCGACGAAGGGAUCUCAGUUUAACCUAAUUGGAAAGGAUUUUGGUUCUGGUUGAAGGAUAUCGGCAAAGGAAUCUCAGUUCAGUCUAACCACACUGACCUUGGUUAUGGUUAAAGGGGAUCGGCGAAGGGAUCUCAGUUUAGCCUAAUCACGCAGAAUCACUAGAUGGGAUUUCAGGUUGAUCGAGCUACACACCGAUUUUUAUUCUUGUUAGGUCGCCAGAUGGGAUCCCAGGUAAACCCAAUCAAAAGGGAAGGUCGCCCGUGAAAAUAGACCAGUGUGAGUGUGUGGGCAGGUCGCCCCUGAAAACAGACCAGUGUGAGAGUGUGGGUCAGUCACCCCUGAAAAUAGACCAGAAUGAGUAUGUGUGGGCAGGUCGCCCCUGAAAACAGACCAGUGUGAGAGUGUGGGUCGCUCGCCCUUGAAAUAGACCAAAGUGAGUAUGUGUGGGCAGGUCGCCCGUGAAAAUAGACCAGUGUGAGUGUGUGGGCAGGUCGCCCCUGAAAAUAGACCACUUUGAGUAUGUGUGGGCAGGUCGCCCAUGAAAGUAGACCAGUGUGAUUGUGUGGGUCGGUCGCCCCUGAAAAUAGACCACUUUUCUUCAAAAGGGGCAUGUCGCCCAAGAUAAUAAGAUCAUUUUUUUUUCUGGUGGUGGCGCGUGGAUCCACGCGCCGCCAGUGGUGGUGGUGCGUGAGAUCCACGCGCCGAUGUUCAUGCGCCCAGAAAUCCGACUGACAUUGUUCCGGAGGUGCAAAAGUUGUUUCUAGAUUGUUUAGGGGCUGUUUUGUAAUUUAAAAUUUAUUUGAUGUAUUUUUUUUUAUUUGGUUUUGAAUUUUUUAUUUUGCAUUAUGUAAAUGUGGAUGUAAAAGAAAAAAGAAAAAAGAAAAGAAAGAGAAAGUGAUAAAUAAAAAAAAGAAAAAGAAAUGUUUGUGUGUGCUUGUAUUUUUUCAAUUUUGCUUAAUAUCGG
Molecule: long non-coding RNA, 8685 nt
Filed under: Populus tremula
Lineage: Eukaryota; Viridiplantae; Streptophyta; Magnoliopsida; Malpighiales; Salicaceae
Description: long non-coding RNA (PTRE_LNC003082)
Source: RNAcentral